This is a long non-coding RNA of Momordica charantia (bitter melon), 688 nucleotides long. RefSeq lists it as uncharacterized. NCBI's taxonomy places the organism in Eukaryota, Viridiplantae, Streptophyta, Magnoliopsida, Cucurbitales, Cucurbitaceae. The record is from RefSeq and is a predicted model, not a curated record.
AACGGAACUUCUACGCCUUCGCAAAUGGCCCGCGCCYUCUUUACCUUCUUCAGUCGCUUUCGGGUGCGUGUCCGAGUCAAUGAGCCGCCCGCCGAGUCAAAAUCGCGUUCUUGACUCGUCCAUUUCCCCCCUCUUUCCCCGAAUAACCUACCAAUUUUGUCCCUCUCCUUCAUAUAAAGCCCCAAUUCCUCCGUUCUCCAAUCUCCAAUCUCCAAAUUCAACUUCAGUUUCGGCUUCUCUGUUGUUUUGAAUCCUAUUCGCAAUCGAUAGAAGAGAAACAUUUUCUAAAUUUUCAGAKAUCGUUCGCCUAGAUUCAGUCGGAAAAGAAAAUAUGAGUUCGAUGAAGCUAUUCGCCGUUCCGAUCRCCGGAUUACUCAUGUUCUUGACUCUUCUGCAACUAGCCUACGGGCACUCGCACGAUAUUUCGCCGGCGCCGGCGGGUCCUUCGAACGACGGCGCUGCAAUUGACCAAGGGAUUGCUUACGUUCUUCUUCUGGUGGCCCUCGYCGUUACUUACAUCGUCCAUUGAUAAUUUUUAUGGAGUUAUCAGAUAUGUAAGAGAUUGAAGAUUUAUAAUUUGCCAUUUUUUGUAGUUUUUUCUCCAUUUAGCGGUGAAGAAAUUGCGGUGGAAAUUUGGAAUAUAUUUAUUCUUUUUACUUAUAAUUAUAAUUUUAUUGGUUGAUUCUGA